AUGAGCAAGUCUACAUUUCAAAAACAAUCGAAGAAAAUGUGUUGCAACCUUUUAGCUCACAACUGUACUUUGUUUCAAAUCCUCCCCACUUGACUGCGAAAAUCAACAGCGCAUGUGCGAUUGAACAAGGAUGGUGGGGAUCAUCUCGUUUCUUGUCUCUAUUAGCUUACGCAUUCGUGGCUGACUCUUCCCCUCUAUAGUGUCCUAGGGUGUAUUCCGAAAGUUCUAUUGAAAAUAUCCCUUUUAGUCAUAAGGUUGGUAGCGCUGUAACUAACUAUGUUGUGUUCCGUAAUGUAAGUUAAGUUUAUGAUUAUCGUUGGCUCACGGUGGUUUGCAGAGAUCAACAAAGAGGAAUCAAAAAGCAAAAAAUGGAUUUCCAAGAAUUCCGGAGAUAAAAAUCCUAAGUUUUGAUUAAUAUUAAUAUAUUAAUUGUAAGUAAAUUAAAUUAUGUCCGUUUUUGUGCACUAAUAAUGCAUAAUAAAGUUUAUUCUGUUUAAGUAGUUGGAGAAGUUGUAGUAGCUUAGCUUGCAUGCUUGUUUUAAUAUUUCAUGUUUUUAGAUAAGCACGGAGAGAUAAUUUAUUCGAUUUAAUUGUUUACAGAACAGCUUCAAUCACAAAAUGUUAAUGUAAAUACAAUCAAACAAUUAAUAUUAUUUGAUGGAGUAUUCAAUUAUACAUUAUAUGUUUCAAAUCAAAUAUAUGAACGUGCGAUUAAAGGUAUAAAAUAAAAUUUUUAUAUUUCUCUUAACAAAGAAUGUAAAAUAUUUUAACAGUAGAAAUCUUCUCAAUCUGUUAAAUGUUUGUAUUAAUAUCUAUUCAAGAAUAAUUCUUUCUGUAUUAGUUUUUCUGUAUUACCAUAUAAAUAAUAUAGGAUGUAUUUUGAAAAAGACUGCAAAUAAUCUAUAACUUCUAUAAAAUAAUGUUACAAAAGUUUUUUUUUUAUUUAUAAUUGUAGUAUAAAAGCCUUAUUGAAAAGCAUGGAAAAGCGUUGUUGCUAAGUUGUUACUGUGCAUAAAAAGUUUAGUUAUAAAAACUGUAAUAAUAUGUAAUAAUAAUGUAAUAAUAUAUUGCAAUUGAAUAAAAAA
Solenopsis invicta (red fire ant) is the source of this 1085-nucleotide long non-coding RNA. RefSeq lists it as uncharacterized. Lineage: Eukaryota; Metazoa; Arthropoda; Insecta; Hymenoptera; Formicidae. The transcript is spliced from 2 exons. The record is from RefSeq and is a predicted model, not a curated record.